RNAcentral lists this ribosomal RNA (253 nucleotides) under uncultured bacterium. RNAcentral's name for it is "partial 16S ribosomal RNA". It matches the Rfam family "Bacterial small subunit ribosomal RNA", at positions 524 to 776 of the family's 1533-position model. The record is from RNAcentral.
UACGGGGGGGGCAAGCGUUGUUCGGAAUUACUGGGCGUAAAGGGCGCGUAGGCGGUUCGCUAAGUUGGAUGUGAAAACUCUGGGCUCAACCCAGAGCCUGCAUCCAAAACUGGCGGGCUAGAGUUCUGGAGGGGGUAGCGGAAUUCCUGGUGUAGCGGUGAAAUGCGUAGAUAUCAGGAGGAACACCGGUGGUGAAGGCGGCUACCUGGACAGAAACUGACGCUGAGGCGCGAAAGCUAGGGGAGCAAACAGG